GACGAACGCUGGCGGCGUGCUUAACACAUGCAAGUCGAACGGAAAGGCCCUGCUUUUGUGGGGUGCUCGAGUGGCGAACGGGUGAGUAACACGUGAGUAACCUGCCCUUGACUUUGGGAUAACUUCAGGAAACUGGGGCUAAUACCGGAUAGGAGCUCCUGCUGCAUGGUGGGGGUUGGAAAGUUUCGGCGGUUGGGGAUGGACUCGCGGCUUAUCAGCUUGUUGGUGGGGUAGUGGCUUACCAAGGCUUUGACGGGUAGCCGGCCUGAGAGGGUGACCGGCCACAUUGGGACUGAGAUACGGCCCAGACUCCUACGGGAGGCAGCAGUGGGGAAUAUUGCACAAUGGGCGGAAGCCUGAGGCAGCAACGCCGCAUGCGGGAUGACGGCCUUCGGGUUGUAAACCGCUUUCGCCUGUGACGAAGCGUGAGUGACGGUAAUGGGUAAAGAAGCACCGGCUAACUACGUG
RNAcentral lists this ribosomal RNA (468 nucleotides) under uncultured bacterium. RNAcentral describes it as "partial 16S ribosomal RNA". It matches the Rfam family "Bacterial small subunit ribosomal RNA", at positions 28 to 507 of the family's 1533-position model. The record is from RNAcentral.